This 253-nucleotide ribosomal RNA is filed under the name uncultured bacterium. Its description in RNAcentral is "partial 16S ribosomal RNA". It matches the Rfam family "Bacterial small subunit ribosomal RNA", at positions 524 to 776 of the family's 1533-position model. The record is from RNAcentral.
UACGGGGGGGGCAAGCGUUGCUCGGAAUCAUUGGGCGUAAAGCGCACGUAGGCGGUCUGUUAUGUCGGAUGUGAAAGCCCUUGGCUCAACUGAGGAAGUGCAUCCGAAACUGGCAGGCUAGAGUACUAAAGAGGAUCGCGGAAUUCCCGGUGUAGAGGUGAAAUUCGUAGAUAUCGGGAGGAACACCGGUGGCGAAGGCGGCGAUCUGGGUAGAUACUGACGCUGAGGUGCGAAAGCGUGGGGAGCAAACAGG